AUUGAACGCUAGCGGGAUGCCUUACCCAUGCAAGUCGAACGGAGUGGCGAACGGGGAGGAAAGGUAUCGGAACGUGCCCAGUAGCGGGGGAUAAUUACCCGAAAGCGUAGCUAAUACCCCAUACUAUUGGGGGGGCCGUUAUGGGAUUGGCUAGUUGGGGGGGUAACGUCCAACCAAGGCGACGACCCGUAGCUGGUUUGAGAGGACGACCAGCCACACUGGGACUGAGACACGGCCCAGACUCCUACGGGAGGCAGCAGUGGGGAAUUUUGGACAAUGGGGGAAACCCUGAUCCAGCCAUCCCGCGUGUGCGAUGAAGGCCUUCGGGUUGUAAAGCACUUUUGGCAGGAAAGCGGUACCUGCAGAAUAAGCACCGGCUAACUACGUGCCAGCAGCCGCGGUAAUAC
This 407-nucleotide ribosomal RNA is filed under the name uncultured bacterium. RNAcentral describes it as "partial 16S ribosomal RNA". It matches the Rfam family "Bacterial small subunit ribosomal RNA", at positions 30 to 526 of the family's 1533-position model. The record is from RNAcentral.